AGCAGCCGCGGUAAUUCCAGCUCCAAUAGCGUAUAUUAAAGUUGUUGCAGUUAGAAAGCUCGUAGUUGAAUUUUGGGUUUGGCCGAUUGGUCCGUUCUUGUAGCGAGUACUGGUCGGUUGGGCCUCACCGCUUGGGGAAGCGUAAUGUCCUUUAUUGGGUGUUGCGAAUAUCCAAGACCUUUACCUUGAAAAACUUAGAGUGUUUAAAGCAGGCAUAUGCCAGAAUACAUUAGCAUGGAAUAAUAGAAUAGGACAAUGAUUCUAUUUUGUUGGUUUCUAGGACCGUUGUAAUGAUUAAUAGGGAUAGUUGGGGGCACUAGUAUUCAAUUGUCAGAGGUGAAAUUCUUGGAUUUAUUGAAGACUAACUACUGCGAAAGCAUUUGCCAAGGAUGUUUUC
RNAcentral lists this unclassified non-coding RNA (397 nucleotides) under uncultured Glomus. RNAcentral describes it as "SSU rRNA". It matches the Rfam family "Eukaryotic small subunit ribosomal RNA", at positions 569 to 971 of the family's 1831-position model. Lineage: Eukaryota; Fungi; Glomeromycota; Glomeromycetes; Glomerales; Glomeraceae. The record is from RNAcentral.